UUUUUUAUUGUAGUUUAUUUACAAUGUUCUGUCAAUUUCUGCUGUACACAAAGUGACCCAAUUACACAUAUAUAUGAUACAUAUAUAUAUAUAUAUAUAUAUGUAUUCUUUUUUUCACAUUAUUCUUCAUUAUGUCCCAUCACAAGUGAUCAGAUAUAUUUUCCUCGGGCUAUAUAGCAGAAUCUCAUUGCUUAUCUAUUCCAAAUGUAAUUAUUUCCCUCUACUAACCCCAAGCUCCCAGUCCCUCCCAAUGCCUCCCCCUCCCUCUUGGCAAUCACAAGACUAUUCUCCAUGUCCAUGAGUUUGUUUCUUUUCUUCAGAUGGGUUCAUUUGUGCCAUGUAUUAGAUUCUAAAUAUAAAUUAUAUGGUAUUUGUCCUCCUUCUGACUUACCUCACUUAGUAUGAGAAUCUCUAGCUAUAUCCAUGUUGCUGCAAAUGGAUUAUUUUGUUCUUUUUUAUGGCUGAGUACUAUUUCAUUGUGUAUAUGUACCACAUCUUAAUUCAUUCAUCUGUCAUUGGACAUUUAGGUUAUUUCCAUGUCUUGGCUAUUGUAAAUAGUGCUGCAGUGAACAUAGGAGUGCGUGUAUAUUUUUCAAUGAAUGCUUUGUCUGGAUAUAUGUCCAGGAGUGGGAUUGCUGGAUCAUAUAGUAGUUGUAUAUUUAGUUUUCUAAGGUAUAUCCAUACUGUUUUCCAUAGUGUGGUUGUACCAAUUUACAUUCCACUGACAGUGGAAGAGGGUUCCCUUUUCUCCACACCCUCUCCAGCAUUUAUUAUUUGUAGACUUACUAAUGAUGGCCAUUCUAACCAGUGUGAGAUGGCACCUCAAAGUAGUUUUGAUUUGCAUUUUUCUAAUAAUUAGUGAUGUUAAACAUUUUUUCAUGUGCUUGUUGGCCAUCUGUAUGUUCUCUUUAGAGAAAUGUCUAUUCAGGUCUUCUGCUCAUUUUUCAGUUGGGUUGUUUGUUUUUUUGCUGUUGAGUUGUAUGAGUUGUUUGUAUAUUUUGGAGAUUAAGCCCUUGUUGGUUGCAUUGUUUGAAGCUAUUUUCUCCCAUUCCACAGGUUGUAAUAGACAUUAUUUUUAAGAGCAAUUAUAGGUUCAGAGAAGAAUGAGUUGAAGGACAGAGAUUUCCCAUUUACUCAUUGUCUCCAAUCAUGCAUAGCCUCCCCAUUAUCAACAUCUCUCACCAGAGUGACGCUUUUGUUACAGUAGAGGAACUGGCAUGAAACACACCCAGACGCCAUGCUUUUCUUUAACAGUAACAUAGCAACGCUAUUAGUUGGAUCUUUAUGAAUUUGGGGAAUAUGUUUGGACUGCAUGCUGUGUAAAUGAGGUAGUCUAAUAUGUAUCUAAUAACCAAUGAAAUCUUACAUCCUGUUUGCUUAAUACAAGAAAAGUUUCUCACUCAUUCGAUGUAAACCACACCACAGUUGAUGGAUGGGAUUGCAGGAGUUGGUGCUCCACUCCAUAUGGUCUCUCAGAGAUUUGAGAUGCUGUGUGAAUUCUCUGACAUCUCAGAAGAUGGUCUGUGGUCACUAUUGCAGAGAAGAGAGAUCUGUAGGCAUCAUACAAAAUAGGAAGUCAGUUUUGAUUUUUAUCCCAUUUGCCAGAUUCAUCACAUGGAACAUGAGAAGAUGUCAGCUUGUUCUAUACCUAGGGAGAGGAAAAUAUGUUGAACAUAUAGUAUUAUCUCUGUGAUACACAGACUUUUGAGAUUUAUAUCAGUGAUACAUUCAAAGAUAUGGAUGAGAUUUUAAUAGAGAACAGUCUGAGGCAUGAGAUUCUGUUGUGACUGCUGACCUCAUGAGGCAGGCUAUAUAUUUUAACAUGACAUAAAAAUAAUAACAAUUAAUAAUAUAACCACUGUAUUUAAAAGUAUGUGAACAAUCAUCCUUAAGUGUAUCCUUUUGUUUUUAUUCUAGUUGCCUCAUGUCAACAACAUGUUUAGCCAUUAGUUACUGGACUUACAGUUCAGUACCAAAAAGAAUUCAUAAACUUUGCUAGAUGGAUUUUUUUUUUUUAAGUACAGUUGAUUUACCGUGUUGUGCCAUUUUCUGUUGCACAGUAAAAUGACCCAAUUUCCUAUAUUAUCUUCCAUCAUGGUAUAUCCCAAGACGUAUAUUAUACUUUCCUUUUCUAUAUUCCUUUUCCUAUAUCAUCUUUUUCCUGUACUCCUUUUCCUAUAUUAUCUUCCAUCAUGGUCUAUCCCAAGAGACACUAUAAUAUCCUGUGCUAUAAUAUAGAACCUCAUUGCUCAUAUGUUCUAAAUGUAAUAGUUUGCAGCUAGAUGGAUUUUUAAAUCUCUCUCUCAUGUGCAUGUUUUUGCUCUCUCACUUGUUUCCUAUCUUUGCCUCUUUCUGUAAUGUUGCAAUGGAUAUAUACAUUGAAGACUGAAAAAUAGACACUAAUCUGUUAAGAGUGAACCCAGAAUAAUGAGAUAGUCAAAAAAGGAUCUUAAUAAAUACUUUUCUGUAUUUUACAAAUAUAGCACAAAUGAUUUUACUCUUUUCAAUUCAGAGAGAAAUCACUAAAAUAAAAUUUAGAUGGGACUAUUUAAUUUAUAUGGUAUUACAACCAUAACUAGUUUUCAGAAGAUCAACCUGUCUGCAAUGAAAGGAAAAGGUGAAAGUGUGUAUUAACCUAUGUUAAAUUAAUUAAACAAAUAGACCAUUAGCCUGAGCUGGCUCUAAUGCAUGGCAGCCUAUGUAUGCAAACCAAAAUCUAAGACUGUAAAUGCCUCAAGUUUACGAAAUUGGAACCUAUGGACAACCAAUCACAGUCAACUAGACUUUAAGCUAUAGUCAAUCAGUAAUGUCCUUAAUUUGCUUCUGCUUUUUCUCUGUGAGUCUUUCCCCCAGCUCCUAUAUGCAGAGAGUUCCUAACCACUGGAGUUACCCAAUUCCAAUCAGUUUUUAAUUUGUCUUAGUUAAUCUUUUAACAUCUGUCUCUGUCAGAAAAUAUACCAAUGUGAAUUUCAUAUACAUCUAGAGUGGCAAAGACAAAUUAAUACACUCAGACAUUUCCUAUACUUUCCUCAGUCUUCCAUGUGCCUGACCUGGCAAAUGAAAAAAUUUGUAAAGUUAUAUUUUUUAACUUGAAGAAAUAUUGGAGUAUUUUAGGAAUCAAGAAAAUAUCUUCAAGAUUUGCUUUUGAGACUUGGCUGAAAACUUGAAUGUGUUGAAUUAUAUAAACUUUUGGUCUACAAAUCUGAAUGUUUUGGCACCAUAAAAUGGGUAAGAUAAAGUAAACAAAAUCUCUUUUCCUAAAAACGUUAAAUGGGAACAAACUGGCUAUUAGUGUGAAAAAAUUCUCAGUGAUAUGCUUUCUUUCUACUCAAAAUUGUCAUGAAUAUUAUCUCUGUCUAUGUUAUUAAUUGAAUUGAAUUAUUAGAUGUAUUGAUUAAUUAGAGCUAUGUAAUGUUACUUUUGGCUUUUAUUUCAAAAGCACAGAAUCAUGAGAAGUAGAAAGGCAUUUAAAGUAUAAAAAUUAGCAGGGAAAGGUCACCUUCCAUUAUCUAAUAUAUUUUGUUGCCAAAGCAGUAAAAAUAUUUCUUUGAACAUGAGCACAGUGGAUUCUAUUCUCAUAUAUUCUGUUAAAAUAUCCUAGAGAGUAUUAGAAUAUCUUUAAACUCAUUAAAGCUAGUUACUUUUUGGCAACAUGUUUCUGGUUUGCUUUAUGGAGAAAACUAAGUUCAUGUUUAAAAUAUGAGUAGGAAACUAAUUUUUAUGAGAUCAAGAAUUAUAAAUCCUGACAAACUUUGGCCAUCUUUCGAAGUAAUUUACAUGCACUCAGAGAUGUUGUUGUUGUUUUUAAGUCAGUCAGGAAGUCUUACUGAUCUUUGUGCUACAUGCAAGAUCAUACACAAGUUUCUAUCAGAAAAUUGGUAUUACACUUAGAAAUUUAUUCUAUUUUUGAACCAUUCUCCUUUUCAAAAUUAACACCUACUACCUGGGAUAUUUCAGCCUUCAAAUCAAUAAAAUAUAUAGCAAUCAUAUACUAUAUAAUAAUUCUUUUUUUGAUUCUAUAAUCAAAAAACUUAAGAGCAACUCUUCUCAAAAGAAAGAUGAAUUGAGAGUGAUGAGGUGUGCAUAGAAGAGGGAGAGGAGCAGGAGAUGGCUCUCAGGUAAGCAGAGAAAAAUAGAAUACUUAAUGUCUUAGGAUAUACACAGACUUGGAUUUUGACACGUUAGGAAAAAACUGCCUAAUUUUAUUACCCAUGAGUUUUUUCUCUUUUGCCUUUUAAAUUUAAAGUGUAUGCUAAAUAUUCUCUAAAAUAAAACAUUCAGUCUCUAGCUACAUCAUGGCUAUUUUACUCUCAACAAUAUUAUUUGCAUAGCUUUAUAUAUAUUUUCAGAAGUCAUAAUCUUUCAAAAGAGACAAUUUUUAUUCAUGGCAGAAAUUUAGAAACUUGAAUUAUGAAUUUAAAAAUUAUCUAUGUGAAAUCUAUUGAAAAAAGUCUGGAAGAGUAGAGUUGAUUCACCUUAGGAAUAGUGAUGCAUUAAAGAAAAAGCAGUAAUCAAAAUUACUUGCUGUUUGCUCAUUCCUUUAGUACUUUAUAGGUACUUUGGAAAAUACGUGAAUCCUUUAUAUAAAUAAUUAAUGUACCAUUUAGCAAAACACUAAAAAAAAAAAAAAUUUUUUUUUUUGGCUGCACAUGCAGCAUGUGAAAAUCCCUGGGCCAGCGAUCAAGCUGUGUCACAGCACCUACUCAAGCCACUGCAGUGACAACCCAGAUCCUUAACCUGCUG
RNAcentral lists this long non-coding RNA (4743 nucleotides) under Sus scrofa (pig). RNAcentral's name for it is "lncRNA (ENSSSCG00000060288.1)". The record is from RNAcentral. Lineage: Eukaryota; Metazoa; Chordata; Mammalia; Artiodactyla; Suidae.